This 468-nucleotide ribosomal RNA is filed under the name uncultured bacterium. RNAcentral's name for it is "partial 16S ribosomal RNA". It matches the Rfam family "Bacterial small subunit ribosomal RNA", at positions 28 to 507 of the family's 1533-position model. The record is from RNAcentral.
GACGAACGCUGGCGGCGUGCUUAACACAUGCAAGUCGAACGAUGAUGCCAGCUUGCUGGUGGAUUAGUGGCGCACGGGUGAGUAACACGUGAGCAACCUGCCCCUGACUUCGGGAUAACCGCGGGAAACCGUGGCUAAUACCGGAUAUGACGCGCUAUCGCAUGGUGGUGUGUGGAAAGAUUUAUCGGUUGGGGAUGGGCUCGCGGCCUAUCAGCUUGUUGGUGGGGUGAUGGCCUACCAAGGCGACGACGGGUAGCCGGCCUGAGAGGGUGACCGGCCACACUGGGACUGAGACACGGCCCAGACUCCUACGGGAGGCAGCAGUAGGGAAUAUUGCACAAUGGGCGCAAGCCUGAUGCAGCGACGCCGCGUGAGGGAUGACGGCCUUCGGGUUGUAAACCUCUUUCAGUAGGGAAGAAGGCCUUCGGGUUGACGGUACCUGCAGAAGAAGCGCCGGCUAACUACGUG